GACGAACGCUGGCGGCGUGCUUAACACAUGCAAGACGAACGGAAAGGCCCUGCUUUUGUGGGGUGCUCGAGUGGCGAACGGGUGAGUAACACGUGAGUAACCUGCCCUUGACUUUGGGAUAACUUCAGGAAACUGGGGCUAAUACCGGAUAGGAGCUCCUGCUGCAUGGUGGGGGUUGGAAAGUUUCGGCGGUUGGGGAUGGACUCGGGGCUUAUCAGCUUGUUGGUGGGGUAGUGGCUUACCAAGGCUUUGACGGGUAGCCGGCCUGAGAGGGUGACCGGCGACAUGGGGACUGAGAUACGGCCCAGACUCCUACGGGAGGCAACAGUGGGGAGUAUGACACAGUGGGCGGGAGCCUGAUGCAGCGACGCCGCGUGCGGGAUGACGGCCUUCGGGUUGUAAACCGCUGUCGCCUGUGACGAAGCGGGAGUGACGGUAAUGUGUAAAGAAGCACCGGCUAACUACGUG
Molecule: ribosomal RNA, 468 nt
Filed under: uncultured bacterium
Lineage: Bacteria
Description: partial 16S ribosomal RNA
Rfam family: Bacterial small subunit ribosomal RNA
Source: RNAcentral